UCAGUUGGGUAUCCCACACUGAAUACAUAGGUGUGUGGAGGCGAACCCGGGGAACUGAAACAUCUAAGUACCCGGAGGAAAAGAAAUCGAAGAGAUUCCGUUAGUAGUGGCGAGCGAAAGCGGAUUAGCCCAAAAGUUGUAGUAUGUUUAGUAGAAUACUUUGGAAAGAGUAGCCAUAGAGGGUGAUAGCCCCGUAAAUGAAAGGCAUAUUAUGAUGAUAAUAGAGUAGGGCGGGACACGUGAAAUCCUGUCUGAAUAUGGGGGGACCAUCCUCCAAGGCUAAAUACUCAUCAUCGACCGAUAGUGAACCAGUACCGUGAGGGAAAGGUGAA
RNAcentral lists this ribosomal RNA (332 nucleotides) under uncultured Symbiodinium. RNAcentral describes it as "partial Bacterial large subunit ribosomal RNA". It matches the Rfam family "Bacterial large subunit ribosomal RNA", at positions 140 to 518 of the family's 2925-position model. The record is from RNAcentral. Lineage: Eukaryota; Dinophyceae; Suessiales; Symbiodiniaceae.